CCACAACUGACGAGUCCCAAACAGGACGAAAUGUGCGUCAAAUUGGAU
This 48-nucleotide non-coding RNA is filed under the name Schistosoma curassoni. The record is from RNAcentral. Lineage: Eukaryota; Metazoa; Platyhelminthes; Trematoda; Strigeidida; Schistosomatidae.